GGGGGUGGGUGCACUCCAGAACUCUUGAGUCUGCGUCCGAGGAAGGGGGAAACUCAUCCUGCGGCUCUUCACCCCCUCCGCCACUCCCCCUCGGGACUGAACGUGAUCCGGCCGCCACCUCUCAGGCCUGCGUCCCACGCGCCCCUUCGGCGCGGACCCCCAGAAUCCCGGGCCGCGCGCGCCGGAUGGAGCCCUCCGAGUCGCGGUUGGGGCGCGCUCCUGUUCUCCAGAGGCGCCAGCGCGACUCGCAUCCUUGGCCCGGCGGGAUGCGGGUGCGCGGGUCCGGGGCUCAGAGGCCGGUCCCUUUAGCUGAGUCUCCCCGCAACCCAAAGGAGGGCGGAGGAGGGGGGCGAGGGACGUCACCCAAGCGCGGAGCCGGGUCCGCGGAGACUAAACAAGGAGAGGAACAGGCUGUAAACACACAUCCUGACACACAAGCAGACCCGGCGCAUAAUGAGGUAGCAGCCUCCAGCCGGCCACCGUGACUAACUCAGAACAAAAGCGCUCCCUCCACGCCUCUCCCAACAAAGGGGCCACCAGUCCCGGCGCUCCCGAAGGCUGCGGGGCUCCCGGCUGCCGGCUUCGCGGAGCUGUCGCGCGCAAACUUCGCGGGGCUCCCGGGGCUGCAGGCGCCACCGAGCCGGGGCCGCGGAGGGAGGAAGCCACAUGCCGCCCCGGAGAGAGAAAGCAGGGAUGUUGCUUUUGGAGAAUGUGAAGACAGUUUGCUUCUUGACAAGCGAGCGAGCCGGCGCCCAGAUUUCUGCAGCCUCUCUGAAUCUCCCCGAGAGAGGAAAAAACGCAGGCAGAGAGAAAAAAAGGCGGAUUGGGAGUCACAGGGUAGAAUUCUGGAACAGGGUGGGGGUAGCCGGUCUCUGGACCCCCAGAAUAGCGGCUCUGCUCCCCCAACCCUGUGGCUACUUAAAAUCCUGGAACUCUGUGGGGGAUUGGGGCUGGGAACGCUCCUUGGAUCAUCACUGCAAAGAAGGAAGAGGAGAAAACAGUAUUUCUCCUCUGCCUGCCUGCAGAAGGGGCCUUGUUCUAGAAGCUGUUUGGCUGCAGACACGGGCCGGUUGCUUGCCUCAUUCUCUGAGAAAGUGGAAUGUCUCUCCUUGCACCACUCAGCAAAUUAUACUCCUAGCUUUCCAAAGUGGGUCUUGCUUAGGGCUGUGUGUGUGUGUGUGUGUGUGUGUGUGUGUGUGUGCACACGCGCGCACGCGCGCACGCGCGCCCUUGCAUGUGUGUGCCUGUGCCCCUCUACAGUGAGGCCAGGGCAGCUAUAGGGUUGCCGCUGGUUCCAGAAAACUGGUUGCGGACAAUUUUUAAGGGAGAGGGGGGCGGGUGGGUGCACCAUUAGCUGAGCUCCUUGGGGUCACUGUCUUCUGCCUUGAAGAUGCUUCCAUUCAGGAGAUGGCUGGGAAGGAUCAGAGCCAUAUGCAUCUGAAGGCCCACCUUCUGGCUAUCUCAUAUUCCCACCCCCCAGGAAUCCUGGGGAGGUGGGGUAUGCUUCUUGCACUUAACCCUUCUCUCUGUGGUUUGUAUAGCAAGCAAAGGGGGUGGUGAUUCCUUUGAAGGAAUGUGAGUUUGUAGGCAUCUUAAGAAAGGAAGGGGGUGAGGCUGAAUGCUAGGAGUGGCAGUAGAGACCCUAUCUUUACCCUGGACCUCCUCGCCUUUGCCCUUUUCCAAAUCUCCCCCGGCCUCCAACAGCAGAGGGAGGGGAGUGUUUUAUGUUGAUGCAUAGGGCUGUCAGAUAGCAGCAAUGCAGCUCGGGCAUGCCUCCCUCUUUAUAAUAUCAGCUCAUUGCCUUGGUCACACUUACCAGAAAAUCCAUCGCUCACCAUCAUUGACAAAAAUCAGGAAGGCCUAAAGUGUGUGUUAAAACCCCACCUGUGUGCCUGGACCAGAGGGCUAGCUCCAUCCCGGGCAGACAAGAGCCCCGUUCCUCCUCCUCCUCCUCCUCCUCCUCCUCCUCCUCUCCCUGCAGCAAUCUGAACAAUUCUGAAGCCACCUCCCAGGGCCUCAGCUGAGUAGGUUGGGGAACUAACCAGGGGCCUCUCUCUAGGGCCCUGUUAAAUGCACAGAAAAAAAAAAUGAACCGCAAAGUGUGAAUUUCAGGUUUGAACAUGAUGCGUCAGGAAGCAUGCGGGCUGGCAGCCCUUCCCCUCCUGCUCGCCUUUCGGUAGCAGGAAUUAAUAUUGUAUUAAAUGUUAUGGGAAAGUAAGGGCUGCGGAGAGGAAUGUGCUCAGAUGCAAUUUUGUCAAGGUUUUUAUCUGUGAUUAUGAUUCCAGAUGUAGGAACUCCCCGAGGAGGAAGUGAGGGGCUGCUGGCGUGUGACAUGUGUUUUAAGGUGUUUGCCAGUGUUUCUCAAAGUGGUGACAAAAUGUUCAAUUUUAUGACAGGGGAGCGGCAAAAGAAAUAUUAAUACUAGGUCAGAGAUUGUUCACCUCAGGGGGAAAGAUUUACCGCUUAUUGAUUAGGGUGGGGGAAAGUUUGUAUCUAGGACCUGCUUAAAUAAAAAAGCACAUUGUCCACAAAGCAAAUUGGUCAGAUAAGAUUAUUCUUAAGGAACCAUUGUUACUAAAUACACCCUAACUAACUGCAUCACCCCUCCUUCUAAUUUCCAUGCAAGGAUGU
Molecule: long non-coding RNA, 2631 nt
Organism: Sorex araneus (European shrew)
Lineage: Eukaryota; Metazoa; Chordata; Mammalia; Eulipotyphla; Soricidae
Exons: 3
Source: RefSeq, a predicted model, not a curated record